This is a long non-coding RNA of Oncorhynchus masou masou (cherry salmon), 1397 nucleotides long. RefSeq lists it as uncharacterized. Lineage: Eukaryota; Metazoa; Chordata; Actinopteri; Salmoniformes; Salmonidae. The record is from RefSeq and is a predicted model, not a curated record. The transcript has 4 exons.
AUAUGGCAGCAUAUAGCAGCACGUUUGAUUGUGCGUCAAGAAUUCAGCAUAGCAAGUCGGUAUGAAGGUCUGGGUAUUAAAUGGGUAAAUAGUUGAAUCCUUUCUCAAUUUCAGGAAUUUAUUCACAGGUAAAUAAUAAUAUGCUUUAAAACGCUCUGGUGACAAACACACUUUGUUGCCCUGUUUCCAAUCGUCCACAUGGCUGAAUCGUCCACAUGGCUGGGAGAACCUAUUCAAGCAAGUGAACCCCUCCUGCAUCUGAACUGGCUACAUAGAGGGCACAGCAUGAUCAGAGGUAUGUUUUGAUGUGAGAGAGGAUGCCAACCCCCAGUCCUGUCAUCGCCACCUUAACCGCUCUUAAGAUAACCUUUGGACUGACUGGGAGCAAAAGGCUGGUUAGGAGACACCACUAGAGACACUAUUAUCUCUAUCACCACAUCCUCUUUCUUCCUCUGUUUUUAUAAUGCAGACCAGAUGUACAUUGAAGUACAGAUUGAACUUGUAUUUAUAAUAUUACAAUUAUAAUAUUUAUAACACUUGAAUAAUUACAGUCUUUCAAGAAAGUGUUUCACUGUCACAUUCUGACCUUUAUUUCCUUCGUUUUGUCUUUAUUUAGUAUGGUCAGGGCGUGAGUUGGGUGGGCAGUCUAUGUUUGUUUGUUCUAUAUUUUGGGUAUUUCUAUGUUCGGCCUAGUAUGGUUCUCAAUCAGAGGCAGGUGUCAUUAGUUGUCUCUGAUUGAGAAUCAUAAUUAGGUAGCCUGGGUUUCAAUGUGUGUUUGUGGGUGAUUGUUCCUGUCUCUGUGUUUUGCACCAGAUAGGACAUUUCUUGUUUUUGUAAGUUUGUUCAUGUGAAGUGAUUUAUUAAAACAUUAAUCAAAAUAACCACGUUGCGCUUUGGUCCGCCUCUCCGUCAAUGGAAGAAAUCCCUUACAGAAUCACCCACCACAACAGGACCAAGCGGCGUGGUAAACAGCAGCUGCAGCAAGAGCAGCAGCAGGAGAAGAACAGAGGCAGCAGCAGCAGGAACAGCAACAGCGAGGUCAGGUUUUCGGGACAUGGGAGCAGAAUCUCGACUACACAACUUGGGAGGAGAUAGACAGGUGGGCGGUCGACCCAGGGAGAGUGCCGGAGCCCACCUGGGAUUCAAUGGAGCAGUGCAAGGAAGGUUACAGGAGAAUGAGGUUGGCGAAGCCAGCACUGUAGUGCAACAGGUACGAGAGGCAGCCCCCCCAAAAAAACAUUUUGGGGGGCACACGAGGUGUGGGGCACACGAGGUGUGGAGCUAAGCCAGGUAGCAGACCUGAGCUCACUCCUCGUGCUUAUUAUAAGCAGAGCGUUACUGGUCAGGCACCGUGUGAUGCGGUUAAGCGCACGGUGUCGCCAGUACGUGUCCAUAGC